Molecule: long non-coding RNA, 707 nt
Filed under: Lathyrus oleraceus (garden pea)
Lineage: Eukaryota; Viridiplantae; Streptophyta; Magnoliopsida; Fabales; Fabaceae
Description: Pisum sativum (pea) long non-coding RNA (PSAT_LNC035837)
Source: RNAcentral
UAUAGUUCAACUACUUCAGAGUUUUAAUGAGAAACCCUGAGUAGCUUUGUUGAUGUGAAGUUUGGAGGAUUUUGGGCGAGAUUUUUCAGCAGAGUAACAGUGCUGGAAAAAGGUUUUUAUGAAAUAUUGCUAUGUCGUUCUUGAUGUGUGUUCUAGGUUUUUUUUGGAAGAAAUCUUUUGUUGUGCAUAUGAUGUUGUUCUUGUUAACCUCCCAUAUGUUGCUAUUAUGAAGAAAAGAUUAAGCCUUAAAACACUCUUGUUUCUUUUUGAUUUUCUCAUCCCAGAUUAUGUGGGAUUUGAUCUGUUCUUGUUUAAGCCAUUGUUGCAAUGCCUUUUUAGAUGUUUCAAUUAAUCUUCUGAAUAAAGCUUCAAACUGAGUGAUUUAUUUUGUUGUUUUGCAGUUUCUUAAGCGCUUCUAAAAAGUGCUUUUAAAAUAAGCUAUUUUUGUGCUCUGCAGAUUACAGUCCUGAGGUGGCUUUGAUGGAAUGGGAAGAAAGAGUAGGUUGUAAAUUAGGGACCUUUUUGCAGCAAAUUUCACUUAGUUGAGAUGUAACUAUUUAGUUUAAUUUUUUUAAGGACAAAAUGUGUGUUUUGAUUAUUUGGGACUUAUUGAAUUAAAUUUUAAUUAUGUAAUUACCUUUUAAGCUUUUCAAAAUUUAACUCAAUAUUUAUUUAUGCUAAUCAAUUUCAAUUUUUAAAAAUAACAA